Molecule: ribosomal RNA, 460 nt
Filed under: uncultured bacterium
Lineage: Bacteria
Description: bacterial SSU rRNA
Rfam family: Bacterial small subunit ribosomal RNA
Source: RNAcentral
GAUGAACGUUGGCGGCGUGCCUAAUACAUGCAAGUCGAACGAAGACUGUAGUAAUACUGUCUUAGUGGCGAACGGGUGAGUAACGCGUGGGUGACCUGCCCCGAAGUGUGGGAUAACAGUUCGAAAGGAUUGCUAAUACUGCAUAAUAUCCAAGAGAUUAGGCGCUUUUGGAUUAAAGGAGUAAUUCGCUUCGGGAGGGGCCCGCGUCCCAUCAGCUAGUUGGUAAGGUAAUGGCUUACCAAGGCGAUGACGGGUAGGGGACCUGAGAGGGUGGCCCCCCACAAUGGAACUGAAACACGGUCCAUACACCUACGGGUGGCAGCAGUAGGGAAUAUUAGUAAUGGGCGAAAGCCUGAACUAGCAACGCCGCGUGUGCGAAGAAGGCCUUCGGGUUGUAAAGCACUUUUUGAGAGGAUGAGGAAGGACGGUACUCUCAGAAUAAGUCUCGGCUAACUACGUG